Molecule: unclassified non-coding RNA, 89 nt
Filed under: Pseudomonas arsenicoxydans
Lineage: Bacteria; Pseudomonadati; Pseudomonadota; Gammaproteobacteria; Pseudomonadales; Pseudomonadaceae
Source: RNAcentral
UGUGGGAGCGGGCUUGCCCGCGAUGACGGCGGCACAUUCACCAUUGAUGUGUCGGACAGAUCGCAAUCGCGGGCAAGCCCGCUCCCACA